RNAcentral lists this ribosomal RNA (497 nucleotides) under uncultured bacterium. RNAcentral describes it as "partial 16S ribosomal RNA". It matches the Rfam family "Bacterial small subunit ribosomal RNA", at positions 28 to 507 of the family's 1533-position model. The record is from RNAcentral.
GAUGAACGCUGGCGGCGUGCCUAAUACAUGCAAGUCGAGCGAACAGACGAGGAGCUUGCUCCUUUGACGUUAGCGGCGGACGGGUGAGUAACACGUAGGUAACCUACCUAUAAGACUGGGAUAACUUCGGGAAACCGGAGCUAAUACCGGAUAAUAUUUCGAACCGCAUGGUUCGAUAGUGAAAGAUGGCUUUGCUAUCACUUAUAGAUGGACCUGCGCCGUAUUAGCUAGUUGGUAAGGUAACGGCUUACCAAGGCAACGAUGCGUAGCCGAACUGAGAGGGUGAUCGGCCACACUGGAACUGAGACACGGUCCAGACUCCUACGGGAGGCAGCAGUAGGGAAUCUUCCGCAAUGGGCGAAAGCCUGACGGAGCAACGCCGCGUGAGUGAUGAAGGUCUUCGGAUCGUAAAACUCUGUUAUUAGGGAAGAACAAACGUGUAAGUAACUGUGCACGUCUUGACGGUACCUAAUCAGAAAGCCACGGCUAACUACGUG